Molecule: long non-coding RNA, 100 nt
Organism: Dicentrarchus labrax (European seabass)
Lineage: Eukaryota; Metazoa; Chordata; Actinopteri; Moronidae
Exons: 3
Source: RefSeq, a predicted model, not a curated record
AGGUCUGUAGUGGGGCUGUAGAGGUCUGUAGUGGGGCUGUAGAGGUCUGUAGUGGGGCUAUAGAGGGGCUGUAGAGGUCUGUAGUGGGGCUAUAGAGAGG